This 227-nucleotide ribosomal RNA is filed under the name uncultured Bacteroides sp. RNAcentral describes it as "partial 16S ribosomal RNA". It matches the Rfam family "Bacterial small subunit ribosomal RNA", at positions 383 to 607 of the family's 1533-position model. Lineage: Bacteria; Pseudomonadati; Bacteroidota; Bacteroidia; Bacteroidales; Bacteroidaceae. The record is from RNAcentral.
CUGAACCAGCCAAGUAGCGUGAAGGAUGAAGGUCCUACGGAUUGUAAACUUCUUUUAUACGGGAAUAAAGUAUCCUACGUGUAGGAUUUUGUAUGUACCGUAUGAAUAAGCAUCGGCUAACUCCGUGCCAGCAGCCGCGGUAAUACGGAGGAUGCGAGCGUUAUCCGGAUUUAUUGGGUUUAAAGGGAGCGCAGACGGGUCGUUAAGUCAGUUGUGAAAGUUUGCGG